Long non-coding RNA from Vitis riparia (riverbank grape), 1602 nucleotides. RefSeq lists it as uncharacterized. The record is from RefSeq and is a predicted model, not a curated record. The transcript is spliced from 2 exons. NCBI's taxonomy places the organism in Eukaryota, Viridiplantae, Streptophyta, Magnoliopsida, Vitales, Vitaceae.
GCAGAGGAGUGGAUUCUGAUUUGAGGCUAUGAGAAGAGCUAGAGAGAGAGAGAGAAUGGGGGAUUCUCAUUUUGGACUGUGAGAAAAAAAGAGGAGUAGAGAGAAAAGGGAGGUAUUUUUAGCGAUGAGGUUUGUCCAGAGAGGAGGAUCUAGGCAGAGCAGAGGAAGAAAACUGAGAAGAGGGAAAGUUUAGAGAGCAGAGGCGUGAGCGGUUUGAGAGAGUUUUUGGAGAGAAGCCAAAGCUGUUUUCAGGAAGAAUGAGCUGAUCGAAGGAGGAAGAAAAGAGUGCUGGAAGACAGACAAAUUGUUACCGUAGAGGAAAGCUAGAGCAGGGAACGUUAGUUUGAGAUAAGGAUAAGAGAAAGCAAGAAAAGCUGUGACAAAAGAGAGUUGGAGCAGAGUUAGGUAGUGCGGGGAAGCUAGACAAAAAUCUUGCUCGAGAGGACGCUUCCUAGUUGAUGCAUGGCUUCAUCCUUGGACUUGACAUAUAAGAAUCAUGCUUGUGUUCUUUGUUAAUCCCACCUGUUCUUUGCCCAUGGAUGUCACCUGAAAUGAGGCUUUCUACAUUCAUUUUUUACUUGAUUUCCUUUUGCUAUUUCUUCCGUUCUUGUCCUGUUUUUUUUUUUUUUUUUCUUAUUCCCAUGUUUCUGGUAAGUUCGUGGUGUUGAGUACCUCAUUUGGGUUGACCAUUUUGAUUGAGGUGCUUUUGAGAGAGCCCCAUACGAGCCACCUUACAUACCGUUAGAAAUUUCUGGAUGUCUGUAAGCCGUAUGGACCACACUGAAACGCCUAGAGAUGCAAUGGAGGAGUACAAUUGAGGAUGAGGAAAUUUCUACUCGAUGCUGGAUAUGGGUGAGGCAACCAUGUAGAAUGGGGUACUGCAGACUAUGAAUCUUCCUCGGUGGGCAUGGGUGGUUUAAUUUUCCUCGUGCACUAUGGUCACAGUAUUUGUAAGCCUUCAAGGUGGUCAGAAUGUUGACUUUCUUGAUCCUGUGCAUAUGUCACGCACCAAAUUCUGUUUACAAGGCCUAGUUACAAGAUGGCGUCUAGAAGAUGUAUGCACGGAUAAUCUCUCGGAUAGGCUUCACAUAAGUCAAGGCUCAUGGAAUGCAGAAUAUCUGGGUUUGUUUCAUUAAUGAGCCCAGGUGAUAACACUUGGCAUGCUGACUUGAUUCAGUAGAAUGAUGGAAAGGCCAGUCUUUGUGAGAGAUUAUUGCAUAGAAUAUGAAGACUCCUUGAUAUUUAGAUAUGGUGGCAAUUUGUAUUUCACAGUGCAAGCUUUUGAUUGAAGUUCACAAGGGAAAGAAGCUGCGUCUCAUGCUAAAUGCAGCCAAAUCCCGGGAGAUCAGCCCACCUCUUCAAGGAGAAGCAGGCCUAUUGACAUGCAGUAGGAACCAACAGUAAGUUCCAAUACAGAAAACCCACUCUUGAAUUGGCACAUGCUGGCCCAGUUCAAAACCGUCCUUGUCCCACGGUUAGAAUUGCAUCACUCCCAGCACCUGUCCUACCUCCGGCCCAAAUUUUGCAUGGCCAUGCGUAGCCACCUUGGUUACAUGCUCCUCGAACAUCCCUUCCAUGGCCAAACUUCAAGUUGGUUAUUUG